Molecule: long non-coding RNA, 211 nt
Filed under: Elaeis guineensis (African oil palm)
Lineage: Eukaryota; Viridiplantae; Streptophyta; Magnoliopsida; Arecales; Arecaceae
Description: long non-coding RNA (EGUI_LNC037849)
Source: RNAcentral
CCUACUUCCGAGUUCGGGUUCUGAAUGAAGUACAGAGAAAUUCUCACGGUCGAAGUUGCUCUCCUCAAUUUUCGUACUCAGCGGUUGCCAGAUAUUUUGACGUUCGGUACACUGGUACUGGAGCCUUUUCGAAAAAGAUUUCUUCUUUUUGGAAUUCCCGUCGGAGCGCAGUCCCAGGUACGGUGCCAUAAUAGUUUUACUAAUUGUCGAC